RNAcentral lists this ribosomal RNA (183 nucleotides) under uncultured bacterium. Its description in RNAcentral is "partial 16S ribosomal RNA". It matches the Rfam family "Bacterial small subunit ribosomal RNA", at positions 1309 to 1500 of the family's 1533-position model. The record is from RNAcentral.
AACUCGACUACAUGAAGCUGGAAUCGCUAGUAAUCGCGAAUCAGCAUGUCGCGGUGAAUACGUUCCCGGGUCUUGUACACACCGCCCGUCAAGCCAUGGGAGCCGGGGGUGCCUGAAGUUCGUGACCGCAAGGAGCGACCUAGGGCAAAACUGGUGACUGGGGCUAAGUCGUAACAAGGUAAC